UACUGACGCUAAAGCUCGAAGGUGCGGGUAUCGAACAGGAUUAGAUACCCUGGUAGUCCGCACGGUAAACGAUGGAUGCCCGCUGUUUGCCGAUAUAGUGUGAGCGGCCAAGCGAAAGCGUUAAAGCAUCCCACCUGGGGAGUACGCCGGCAACGGUGAAACUCAAAGGAAUUGACGGGGGCCCGCACAAGCGGAGGAACAUGUGGUUUAAUUCGAUGAUACGCGAGGAACCUUACCCGGGCUUGAACUGCCGGCGAACGAUACAGAGAUGUUGAGGCCCUUCGGGGCGCCGGUGGAGGUGCUGCAUGGUUGUCGUCAGCUCGUGCCGUGAGGUGUCGGCUUAAGUGCCAUAACGAGCGCAACCCCUCUCUUCAGUUGCCAUCACUUCGGGUGGGCACUCUGGAGACACUGCCACCGUAAGGUGUGAGGAAGGUGGGGAUGACGUCAAAUCAGCACGGCCCUUACGUCCGGGGCUACACACGUGUUACAAUGGGUGGUACAGAGCGUCGACCGCCGGCAACGUCGGUCCAAUCGUGAAAUCCAUCCUCAGUUCGGACUGGGGUCUGCAACCCGACCCCACGAAGCUGGAUUCGCUAGUAA
Molecule: ribosomal RNA, 600 nt
Filed under: uncultured bacterium
Lineage: Bacteria
Description: bacterial SSU rRNA
Rfam family: Bacterial small subunit ribosomal RNA
Source: RNAcentral